UUAUUUUUGACCAAAAAAAUAAAAUCAUCUUUCUCUCAGUACAUUCUCGAAAGAUAAAUCUAAUAAAAAAUUAUUUUUCUUAAGAGCUAGCUAGUUAAUAAUUUUAUCUGAACUUAAAUAUUACAGUCGAUUUCGAUGUCACGUAUAUGUUUCAUUCAUAUAUACUACUUUUUACAUAAAUACGACUACAUAAUAUUUGAUUCAUAUACUUCCCUCCAUUAUAAUUUAAAAAAUAAAAAAUUAUAAAAAAAGCUUAAUAUCUUUUUAAUUAAAAACAGUUAGAAAAUUAAUUUUUCCACACU
RNAcentral lists this long non-coding RNA (302 nucleotides) under Ananas comosus (pineapple). Its description in RNAcentral is "long non-coding RNA (ACOM_LNC019091)". The record is from RNAcentral. Lineage: Eukaryota; Viridiplantae; Streptophyta; Magnoliopsida; Poales; Bromeliaceae.